CGAUGCCAGAGCUAACUGAUGGGUGCACAUGGUUCCUUCGUAUGUUCUUUCUUUGAAAAAAUAAACGUGUUUCGAUGCCAGAGCUAACUGAUGGGUGUACAUGGUUCCUUCGUGUGUUCUUCCUUUGAAAAAAAUAAACGUGUUUCGAUGCCAGAGCUAACUGAUUGGUGCACAUGGUUCCUUCGUAUGUUCUUCCUUUGAAGAAA
Ornithodoros turicata is the source of this 206-nucleotide long non-coding RNA. RefSeq lists it as uncharacterized. The transcript is spliced from 3 exons. NCBI's taxonomy places the organism in Eukaryota, Metazoa, Arthropoda, Arachnida, Ixodida, Argasidae. The record is from RefSeq and is a predicted model, not a curated record.